This 965-nucleotide unclassified non-coding RNA is filed under the name Hevea brasiliensis (rubber tree). The record is from RNAcentral. Lineage: Eukaryota; Viridiplantae; Streptophyta; Magnoliopsida; Malpighiales; Euphorbiaceae.
AGAGAGAGAGAGAGAGAGAUCAUCUUUAAGUGGCGAUAUUCAUCAUUUUCGAGGGUAGUUCCACUCGCAACCAACAACGCUCAACCGUUUUGAUCAAUGCCCUAGCUCCUCACCUCUCCCUCUCUUUCGACACAACCUUAAUCUUACCAAAACUAGCUCCAGCUUCAUUUUGCUCAUCUGCGCGCCAACUCCAUACAAUUACAGACCCACGCAACAACCCUUCUUCUUCUUCAGUUCUACCACAUAUCCUGCUCUCCCCCUCUCACAUUUUUCGUGUCUUCAACUAAAGUGCCAACUCCCUUCCUUAUCAAACCUCACUCUCCUUCCCUUUGAAGAGCAUUCACCCCUCACCCAGUGCCAUACGAUACGCAUUGUCACCCAGCUUCUACUCGCUUUUCUCCAUACCCAUCUCCUUCACCACGUUCCCCUGUCUCCAUUCUCCUCCAAGAUCACUUACUCACCUUGCACAAGCGCUGGCCCUAUGAGCAAUCUUCCUCUUCGACAAUCAAGCACCCAUUUCCUUUCCUCUCUGCCUCCAUUCAAGAUGAGAAAGGAAAUUACUAAGUUCACAGCCAUUUAGGGUUACAUGAUCACAUGAUCCUUUUCUGGCUCAAUUUGUAUCAAUUCUAGUAAUUUUGGGUUUCAUAAGUCCAUGUUAAAUAUUUUAAGGGCCUAUUUGACUGCAAUUUUAUUUAUAAGGGCUCAAUUGACUAUUUGGCAUAAGUUUUAGGGCCUAUUUGGGCCUUUGGCCAAAAACUAAAAAUUAUUUCCCUCAGUUUUUGUUUUCAUGUUGACUUAGUCAGACACCUUUGUUCCCUUUGUACUCUCUUUUGUGUUUCUUCUUUUAUAUGAAAAUCAUAAAAGUUGCUUAAAAAGGGGAAAAAACCAAUUGAGAUUUGAUGUAGGGGAGAUUGUUUACUAUUAACAUUAGUUCAUGUUUUUGCAUUGCGAGUGGACUGGAAUGU